AGAGAGAGAGAGAGAGAGACAGAGAGAGACAGACAGAGAGAGAGAGCCUCUCCUCCUCCUGUCCUUGGCUCCAGGAUGAAAAGCUGAAUGAGACAGAAGGCGUGUAAUGGUUGUUGGAUAAGAGAAACAGCACUGUUCAUUUCAUUAAAAAAAGUCCCUGUGUUCCAAAUGACACACUCUUCCCUAUAUAAAGUGCACUACUUUUGACCAGAGCCCAUAGAGCCCUGGUAAACAGUAGUGUACUAUAUAGGAAAAAAGUUUGAAAUUAGGAAUGCACAACAAGCAUUUCACUACACUCAAAUUAAAAUCUGCUAACCAUGUGUAUGUGACAAAUACGAUUUGAUUAGAUUUUUUUAGAUGAGUAAUUAUGAAAACUGUCAAAGCAGUGUGACUGUAAAUGAAAGGUGCACGUUCCCUCAGAUGAAAGGUGCACGUUCCCUCAGAUGAGAGGUGCACGUUCCCUCAGAAGAAAGGUGCACGUUCCCUCAGAUGAGAGGUGCACGUUCCCUCAGAUGAAAGGUGCACGUUCCCUCAGAUGAAAGGUGCACGUUCCCUCAGAUGAGAGGUGCACGUUCCCUCAGAUGAGAGGUGCACGUUCCCUCAGAUGAGAGGUGCACGUUCCCUCAGAUGAGAGGUGCACGUUCCCUCAGAUGAAAGGUGCACGUUCCCUCAGAUGAGAGGUGCACGUUCCCUCAGAUGAGAGGUGCACGUUCCCUCAGAUGAAAGGUGCACGUUCCCUCAGAUGAAAGGUGCACGUUCCCUCAGAUGAAAGGUGCACGUUCCCUCAGAUGAGCGGAGGAGAACGUGAAUCUUACAGGACCUUACAGAAAGGUUGUCUAGUGCUACGGGGUCAUUAUUCAGGAUGUAACCUUUUGUCAUGUUUUCUUAAUAAAGUGGAGGCCAAUUCAACUGAGACACAUUAUGUUUCUAUCUAUAUAACUUCAUAAGCACCGUGUCCUCUACCUGACAGACUAUAUAGCGCAACUAGGACUCCAGUAUAGCACAAUACUGGGAAAAGCACUAAAGGACCUGGAUUCAAUGAAUGCUGCAUAUCUGGUUCUAGAAGCAUGAUAUCUGGUUCUAGAAGCAUGAAAUUUGGUUCUAGAAGCAUGAUUUCUGGUUCUAGAUGGUUCUAGAAGUAGUUAACAUACACAUUUGAUCUCUCAUUCUCUCUCUUUCUCUUCCCCCACGUUUGAAAAAUGAAAACUAUAAUGAAACUAUUAUCUUUGAAUCCCAAAUAAAAUAAUAAACAUUAUGAAUUAUGUUGAUUUUCAGUUUUUUGUUUUCUAAACUUUGGACAAAAUUGAAAUGAGGUUUUCAAGCUUAUCUUUCUAAUGGGGUUUUCAAGCUGUUAUUUAUUUUGGCUUGUUUGCAUUAUCUACCUUCACUAAAGUAGAGAGGUACUAGGAGAACCCUAGAGAGUAGGAGAACCUUAGAGAGUAAACAGGACAGUAGAGAGGUACUAGGAGAACCCUAUAGAGUAAACAGGACAGUAGAGAGGUACUAGGAGAACCCUAGAGAGUAAACAGGACAGUAGAGAGGUACUAGGAGAACCCUAGAAAGUAGGAUAACCUUAGAGAGUAAACAGGACAGUAGAGAGGUACUAGGAGAACCUUAGAGAGUAAACAGGACAGUAGAGAGGUACUAGGAGAACCUUAGAGAGUAGGAGAACCUUAGAGAGUAAACAGGACAGUAGAGAGGUACUAGGAGAACCUUAGAGAGUAAACAGGACAGUAGAGAGGUACUAGGAGAACCUUAGAGCGUAAACAGGACAGUAGAGAUGUACUAGGAGAACCCUAGAAAGUAGGAGAACCCUAGAGAGUAAACAGGACAGUAGAGAGGUACUAGGAGAACCCUAGAAAGUAGGAGAACCCUAGAGAGUAAACAGGACAGUAGAGAGGUACUAGGAGAACCUUAGAGAGUAAACAGGACAGUAGAGAGGUACUAGGAGAACCUUAGAGAGUAAACAGGACAGUAGAGAGGUACUAGGAGAACCCUAGAAAGUAGGAGAACCCUAGAGAGUAAACAGGACAGUAGAGAGGUACUAGGAGAACCUUAGAGAGUAAACAGGACAGUAGAGAGGUACUAGGAGAACCUUAGAGAGUAAACAGGACAGUAGAGAGGUACUAGGAGAACCCUAGAAAGUAGGAGAACCCUAGAGAGUAAACAGGACAGUAGAGAGGUACUAGGAGAACCCUAGAGAGUAAACAGGACAGUAGAGAGGUACUAGGAGAACCCUAGAAAGUAGGAGAACCUUAGAGAGUAAACAGGACAGUAGAGCGGUACUAGGAGAACCCUAGAAAGUAGGAUAACCUUAGAGAGUAAACAGGACAGUAGAGAGGUACUAGGAGAACCCUAGAGAGUAAACAGGACAGUAGAGAGGUACUAGGAGAACCUUAGAGAGUAAACAGGACAGUAGAGAGGUACUAGGAGAACCUUAGAGAGUAAACAGGACAGUAGAGAGGUACUAGGAGAACCUUAGAGAGUAGGAGAACCUUAGAGAGUAAACAGGACAGUAGAGAGGUACUAGGAGAACCUUAGAGAGUAAACAGGACAGUAGAGAGGUACUAGGAGAACCUUAGAGCGUAAACAGGACAGUAGAGAGGUACUAGGAGAACCCUAGAAAGUAGGAGAACCCUAGAGAGUAAACAGGACAGUAGAGAGGUACUAGGAGAACCCUAGAAAGUAGGAGAACCCUAGAGAGUAAACAGGACAGUAGAGAGGUACUAGGAGAACCUUAGAGAGUAAACAGGACAGUAGAGAGGUACUAGGAGAACCUUAGAGAGUAAACAGGACAGUAGAGAGGUACUAGGAGAACCCUAGAAAGUAGGAGAACCCUAGAGAGUAAACAGGACAGUAGAGAGGUACUAGGAGAACCCUAGAGAGUAAACAGGACAGUAGAGAGGUACUAGGAGAACCCUAGAAAGUAGGAGAACCUUAGAGAGUAAACAGGACAGUAGAGAGGUACUAGGAGAACCUUAGAGAGUAAACAGGACAGUAGAGAGGUACUAGGAGAACCUUAGAGCGUAAACAGGACAGUAGAGAGGUACUAGGAGAACCCUAGAAAGUAGGAGAACCCUAGAGAGUAAACAGGACAGUAGAGAGGUACUAGGAGAACCCUAGAAAGUAGGAGAACCCUAGAGAGUAAACAGGACAGUAGAGAGGUACUAGGAGAACCUUAGAGAGUAAACAGGACAGUAGAGAGGUACUAGGAGAACCUUAGAGAGUAAACAGGACAGUAGAGAGGUACUAGGAGAACCCUAGAAAGUAGGAGAACCCUAGAGAGUAAACAGGACAGUAGAGAGGUACUAGGAGAACCCUAGAGAGUAAACAGGACAGUAGAGAGGUACUAGGAGAACACUAGAAAGUAGGAGAACCUUAGAGAGUAAACAGGACAGUAGAGCGGUACUAGGAGAACCCUAGAAAGUAGGAGAACCUUAGAGAGUAAACAGGACAGUAGAGAGGUACUAGGAGAACCCUAGAGAGUAAACAGGACAGUAGAGAGGUAGUAGGAGAACCUUAGAGAGUAAACAGGACAGUAGAGCGGUACUAGGAGAACCCUAGAAAGUAGGAGAACCUUAGAGAGUAAACAGGACAGUAGAGAGGUACUAGGAGAACCUUAGAGAGUAAACAGGACAGUAGAGAGGUACUAGGAGAACCUUAGAGAGUAGGAGAACCUUAGAGAGUAAACAGGACAGUAGAGAGGUACUAGGAGAACCUUAGAGAGUAAACAGGACAGUAGAGAGGUACUAGGAGAACCUUAGAGCGUAAACAGGACAGUAGAGAGGUACUAGGAGAACCCUAGAAAGUAGGAGAACCCUAGAGAGUAAACAGGACAGUAGAGAGGUACUAGGAGAACCCUAGAAAGUAGGAGAACCCUAGAGAGUAAACAGGACAGUAGAGAGGUACUAGGAGAACCUUAGAGAGUAAACAGGACAGUAGAGAGGUACUAGGAGAACCUUAGAGAGUAGGAGAACCUUAGAGAGUAAACAGGACAGUAGAGAGGUACUAGGAGAACCUUAGAGAGUAAACAGGACAGUAGAGAGGUACUAGGAGAACCUUAGAGCGUAAACAGGACAGUAGAGAGGUACUAGGAGAACCCUAGAAAGUAGGAGAACCCUAGAGAGUAAACAGGACAGUAGAGAGGUACUAGGAGAACCCUAGAAAGUAGGAGAACCCUAGAGAGUAAACAGGACAGUAGAGAGGUACUAGGAGAACCUUAGAGAGUAAACAGGACAGUAGAGAGGUACUAGGAGAACCUUAGAGAGUAAACAGGACAGUAGAGAGGUACUAGGAGAACCCUAGAAAGUAGGAGAACCCUAGAGAGUAAACAGGACAGUAGAGAGGUACUAGGAGAACCUUAGAGAGUAAACAGGACAGUAGAGAGGUACUAGGAGAACCUUAGAGCGUAAACAGGACAGUAGAGAGGUACUAGGAGAACCCUAGAAAGUAGGAGAACCCUAGAGAGUAAACAGGACAGUAGAGAGGUACUAGGAGAACCCUAGAAAGUAGGAGAACCCUAGAGAGUAAACAGGACAGUAGAGAGGUACUAGGAGAACCUUAGAGAGUAAACAGGACAGUAGAGAGGUACUAGGAGAACCUUAGAGAGUAAACAGGACAGUAGAGAGGUACUAGGAGAACCCUAGAAAGUAGGAGAACCCUAGAGAGUAAACAGGACAGUAGAGAGGUACUAGGAGAACCCUAGAGAGUAAACAGGACAGUAGAGAGGUACUAGGAGAACCCUAGAAAGUAGGAGAACCUUAGAGAGUAAACAGGACAGUAGAGAGGUACUAGGAGAACCCUAGAGAGUAAACAGGACAGUAGAGAGGUACUAGGAGAACCCUAGAAAGUAGGAGAACCUUAGAGUGUAAACAGGACAGUAGAGCGGUACUAGGAGAACCCUAGAAAGUAGGAGAACCUUAGAGAGUAAACAGGACAGUAGAGAGGUACUAGGAGAACCUUAGAGAGUAGGAGAACCUUAGAGAGUAAACAGGACAGUAGAGAGGCACUAGGAGAACCCUAGAAAGUAGGAGAACCUUAGAGAGUAAACAGGACAGUAGAGAGGUACUAGGAGAACCCUAGAAAGUAGGAGAACCUUAGAGAGUAAACAGGACAGUAGAGAGGCACUAGGAGAACCUUAGAGAGUAAACAGGACAGUAGAGAGGUACUAGGAGAACCUUAGAGAGUAGGAGAACCCUAGAGAGUAAACAGGACAGUAGAGAGGCACUAGGAGAACCUUAGAGAGUAAACAGGACAGUAGAGAGGUACUAGGAGAACCUUAGAGAGUAAACAGGACAGUAGAGAGGUACUAGGAGAACCUUAGAGAGUAAACAGGACAGUAGAGAGGU
This is a non-coding RNA of Salmo salar (Atlantic salmon), 5348 nucleotides long. NCBI's taxonomy places the organism in Eukaryota, Metazoa, Chordata, Actinopteri, Salmoniformes, Salmonidae. The record is from RefSeq and is a predicted model, not a curated record.